Ictidomys tridecemlineatus (thirteen-lined ground squirrel) is the source of this 69-nucleotide non-coding RNA. The record is from Rfam. NCBI's taxonomy places the organism in Eukaryota, Metazoa, Chordata, Mammalia, Rodentia, Sciuridae.
GGGUUUGUGGCUCAGUGGUAGAGCACUUGCCUGGGAUGUGUGAGGCACUGAGUUCAAUUCUCAGCACCA